CCUACGGGAGGCAGCAGUGAGGAAUAUUGGUCAAUGGACGCAAGUCUGAACCAGCCAUGCCGCGUGCAGGAUGACGGCUCUAUGGGUUGUAAACUGCUUUUGUACGGGGGUAAACCCCGAUACGUGUAUCGUUUUGCACGUAUCGUACGAAUAAGGAUCGGCUAACUCCGUGCCAGCAGCCGCGGUAAUACGGAGGAUCCGAGCGUUAUCCGGAUUUAUUGGGUUUAAAGGGUGCGUAGGCGGUUUGAUAAGUUAGCGGUGAAAUGUCGGGGCUCAACCCCGAAACUGCCUCUAAUACUGUUGGACUAGAGAAGAGGUGAGGUAGGCGGAAUGGAUGGUGUAGCGGUGAAAUGCUUAGAGAUGACAAAGAACACCGAUUGCGAAGGCAGCUUACCAAACUAUAUCUGACGUUGAGGCACGAAAGCGUGGGUAGCAAACAGGAUUAGAUACCCCAGUAGUC
RNAcentral lists this ribosomal RNA (460 nucleotides) under uncultured bacterium. RNAcentral's name for it is "partial 16S ribosomal RNA". It matches the Rfam family "Bacterial small subunit ribosomal RNA", at positions 338 to 795 of the family's 1533-position model. The record is from RNAcentral.